AGAGUUUGAUCAUGGCUCAGAACUAACGCUGGCGGCGUGCCUAACACAUGCAAGUCGUACGAGAAAGUUGGCUUCGGCCGGUGAGUAAAGUGGCGCACGGGUGAGUAACGCGUGGAUAAUCUACCCCUCAGUUGGGAAUAACUCAUCGAAAGGUGGGCUAAUACCGAAUAAUACUGCAUAACUUCUGUUGUGUAGUCAAAGAUGGCCUCUGCUUGCAAGCUAUCGCUGAAGGAUGAGUCCGCGUACCAUUAGCUAGUUGGUAGGGUAAUGGCCUACCAAGGCAACGAUGGUUAGCUGGUCUGAGAGGAUGAUCAGCCACACUGGAACUGAGACACGGUCCAGACUCCUACGGGAGGCAGCAGUGAGGAAUAUUGCGCAAUGGGGGCAACCCUGACGCAGCAACGCCGCGUGAGUGAGGAAGGUUUUCGGACCGUAAAGCUCUGUCGAGCGGGAAGAAAUGCAUAGUGGUUAAUAUCCAUUAUGCUUGACGGUACCGCUAAAGGAAGCACCGGCUAACUCCGUGCCAGCAGCCGCGGUAAUACGGGGGGUGCUAGCGUUGUUCGGAAUCAUUGGGCGUAAAGAGCGUGUAGGCGGCUGGAUAAGUCAGAUGUGAAAGCCCUGGGCUUAACCCAGGAAGUGCAUUUGAAACUGUUCAGCUUGAGUAAGGGAGAGGAAAGUGGAAUUCCUGGUGUAGAGGUGAAAUUCGUAGAUAUCAGGAGGAACACCGGUGGCGAAGGCGACUUUCUGGCCCUAUACUGACGCUGAGACGCGAGAGCGUGGGUAGCAAACAGGAUUAGAUACCCUGGUAGUCCACGCUGUAAACGAUGUUCACUAGGUGUUGGGGGUAUUGACCCUCUCAGUGCCGCAGCUAACGCAUUAAGUGAACCGCCUGGGGAGUACGGUCGCAAGAUUAAAACUCAAAGGAAUUGACGG
RNAcentral lists this ribosomal RNA (933 nucleotides) under uncultured bacterium. RNAcentral's name for it is "bacterial SSU rRNA". It matches the Rfam family "Bacterial small subunit ribosomal RNA", at positions 8 to 916 of the family's 1533-position model. The record is from RNAcentral.